Molecule: long non-coding RNA, 1147 nt
Filed under: Homo sapiens (human)
Lineage: Eukaryota; Metazoa; Chordata; Mammalia; Primates; Hominidae
Description: HSALNT0281410
Source: RNAcentral
CAACAACCUUUCCUGUUCCAUUUCCAGCUUCCUAAGCUUCUUCUCUGCUCCAGGACUGCCUGAGCUCCUUCCUUCCAGGUUACUUUCCACUCGGCUCAUUUUGCCCCAAGGGCUUGGGCAUAUGCUAACCUGUCUAGCUGGGUGCACUGCCACAGUCUUAAAGCCACCCUCAGUGUCACCCUGGAAUAUUUCUGUUCAUAGAACUAUCACUGUCUAAAUUUAUCUUGGUUAUCUAUAAUGGGUAAACCAGAUAGAAUAAAAUUGGUGGAGUGCAAUCUGAAAAGUCUGUCUCUCCCACUACUACUGUCCAAAGCCUUGAAGAAGAUGCCUUUCUCCAACAACUUUUGUUAUCUCAGGAUGGUUCUCAGUGCCAGAAGAGUCUCCUUUAGAGGUAUUGCAGAAAUCCAAAAUCAACACUUUCUUCUGACAUGCAACUGAAGCUUCUCCUGAUCCUCCCUUUCUGGCACCCCAUUCUCACUCUCAAGCUUGUCUGGGAAUUUUGCAGACUGCUCCUGGGGAAGGAGCUAUACACAGGAAUCUCUGAGUCUCAAAAGGAUGAAGGAGUCACAAGAUGGAACGAGCCUGGCUCCCUGAAUCACAACAUGGAGGAUGCCACCCACCAACCAGGAACACAUUCACUAGAUGGUUACAAUUGUUAAAAAAAUCUUUUACUGUGUUAAGCCAUUGCAAAUUUAGGGUUUAUUUGCUGUAUCAGCGUGAUAUACCCUAAAAUACAUAUUUAGCAAUUUCUAUUAGUACCCAACUGCCUUUCCUAACAUAGCGAUGAGAUUAUCUAUGGUUCUCAGGUUUGUGACUUUAUUUGAAAAUCCAGCUGGAAACCAUCAUUCUCAGCAAACUAUCGCAAGGACAAAAAACCAAACACCGCGUGUUCUCACUCAUAGGUGGGAACUGAACAAUGAGAACACAUGGACACAGGAAGGGGAAUAUCACACACGGGGGCCUGUUGUGGGGUGGGGGGAGGGGGGAGGGAUAGCAUUAGGAGAUAUACCUGAUGUUAAAUGACGAGUUAAUGGGUGCAGUACACCAACAUGGCACAUGUAUACAUAUGUAACAAACCUGCACGUUGUGCACAUGUACCCUAAAACUUAAUGUGUAAUAAUAAUAAUAAUAAAAAUCCAAGAUAAAA